RNAcentral lists this ribosomal RNA (348 nucleotides) under uncultured bacterium. Its description in RNAcentral is "bacterial SSU rRNA". It matches the Rfam family "Bacterial small subunit ribosomal RNA", at positions 8 to 350 of the family's 1533-position model. The record is from RNAcentral.
AGAGUUUGAUCAUGGCUCAGGAUGAACGCUAGCUACAGGCUUAACACAUGCAAGUCGAGGGGCAGCAUGUUGGUUGCUUGCAACCAACGAUGGCGACCGGCGCACGGGUGAGUAACGCGUAUCCAACCUACCCUUGUCCAUCGGAUAACCCGUCGAAAGGCGGCCUAACACGAUAUGCGGUUCACAGCAGGCAUCUAACGUGAACGAAAUGUGAAGGAGAAGGAUGGGGAUGCGUCUGAUUAGCUUGGUUGGCGGGUAACGGCCACCAAGGCUACGAUCGAGUAGGGGUUCUGAGAGGAAGGUCCCCCACAUUGGAACUGAGACACGGUCCAAACUCCUACGGAGGCA